RNAcentral lists this ribosomal RNA (451 nucleotides) under Staphylococcus aureus. RNAcentral's name for it is "bacterial SSU rRNA". It matches the Rfam family "Bacterial small subunit ribosomal RNA", at positions 928 to 1378 of the family's 1533-position model. The record is from RNAcentral. Lineage: Bacteria; Bacillati; Bacillota; Bacilli; Caryophanales; Staphylococcaceae.
AGCGGUGGAGCAUGUGGUUUAAUUCGAAGCAACGCGAAGAACCUUACCAAAUCUUGACAUCCUUUGACAACUCUAGAGAUAGAGCCUUCCCCUUCGGGGGACAAAGUGACAGGUGGUGCAUGGUUGUCGUCAGCUCGUGUCGUGAGAUGUUGGGUUAAGUCCCGCAACGAGCGCAACCCUUAAGCUUAGUUGCCAUCAUUAAGUUGGGCACUCUAAGUUGACUGCCGGUGACAAACCGGAGGAAGGUGGGGAUGACGUCAAAUCAUCAUGCCCCUUAUGAUUUGGGCUACACACGUGCUACAAUGGACAAUACAAAGGGCAGCGAAACCGCGAGGUCAAGCAAAUCCCAUAAAGUUGUUCUCAGUUCGGAUUGUAGUCUGCAACUCGACUACAUGAAGCUGGAAUCGCUAGUAAUCGUAGAUCAGCAUGCUACGGUGAAUACGUUCCCGGG